ACGUGCAUGGUGGAUGUGGAAGGCUUUGAUGAUGUUGGUGAAGCUCUCUCUGACGCCGUCAGAGAUGGAUUGGGGACACUCCUGCGGGAAGGUGCUGAGGGGGGGAGCUGCGACAACCGGCCCCACACCAGAAAAAGCCGGGGGCCGCUGAGCCCAGGCCACCAACAGGAGCUGUGGACCCAGCCUGACCCCUGGACCGAGGUGCUUUCAGGGCACAAGGGGGAUGCGGGAGCCUGUGGCUGCUGUCGCUUCUGCCCUCAGUUCAUAAACACACGCUGUGCACAUCCCCUGUGCUUGGCAAGGGGCCUGGAUGGAAGGGCCAGUGAGGAGACGCCCAUCCUCCAGGCACUGUGCCUCCUCCCAAAGGCCAGCACCCCGAGCAUCACUGUACCCUCCCCACAGAGGUCAGCACCCCGAGCAUCACUGUACCUCCCCACAAAGGUCAGCACCCC
RNAcentral lists this long non-coding RNA (452 nucleotides) under Pongo abelii (Sumatran orangutan). RNAcentral describes it as "lincRNA". Lineage: Eukaryota; Metazoa; Chordata; Mammalia; Primates; Hominidae. The record is from RNAcentral.